Molecule: ribosomal RNA, 429 nt
Filed under: Actinomycetes bacterium
Lineage: Bacteria; Bacillati; Actinomycetota; Actinomycetes
Description: Actinobacteria bacterium partial 16S ribosomal RNA
Rfam family: Bacterial small subunit ribosomal RNA
Source: RNAcentral
UAGGGAAUCUUCCGCAAUGGGCGAAAGCUUGACGGAGCAACGCCGCGUGAGUGAUGAAGGUCUUCGGAUCGUAAAACUCUGUUAUUAGGGAAGAACAAAUGUGUAAGUAACUAUGCACGUCUUGACGGUACCUAAUCAGAAAGCCACGGCUAACUACGUGCCAGCAGCCGCGGUAAUACGUAGGUGGCAAGCGUUAUACGGAAUUAUUGGGCGUAAAGCGCGCGUAGGCGGUUUUUUAAGUCUGAUGUGAAAGCCCACGGCUCAACCGUGGAGGGUCAUUGGAAACUGGAAAACUUGAGUGCAGAAGAGGAAAGUGGAAUUCCAUAUGUAGCGGUGAAAUGCGCAGAGAUAUGGAGGAACACCAGUGGCGAAGGCGACUUUCUGGUCUGUAACUGACGCUGAUGUGCGAAAGCGUGGGGAUCAAACAGG